AUACGUAGGGGGCGAGCGUUGUCCGGAAUGAUUGGGCGUAAAGGGCGCGUAGGCGGCCCGGUAAGUCUGGAGUGAAAGUCCUGCUUUUAAGGUGGGAAUUGCUUUGGAUACUGUCGGGCUUGAGUGCAGGAGAGGUAAGUGGAAUUCCCAGUGUAGCGGUGAAAUGCGUAGAGAUUGGGCGGAACACCAGUGGCGAAGGCGACUUACUGGACUGUAACUGACGCUGAGGCGCGAAAGUGUGGGGAGCAAACAGGAUUAGAUACCCUGGUAGUCCACGCUGUAAACGAUGAAUGCUAGGUGUAGGGGGUAUCGACCCCUUCUGUGCCGCAGUUAACACAAUAAGCAUUCCGCCUGGGGAGUACGGCCGCAAGGUUGAAACUCAAAUGAAUUGACGGGG
RNAcentral lists this ribosomal RNA (397 nucleotides) under uncultured bacterium. RNAcentral's name for it is "partial 16S ribosomal RNA". It matches the Rfam family "Bacterial small subunit ribosomal RNA", at positions 523 to 918 of the family's 1533-position model. The record is from RNAcentral.